CCGCGCCGCGCGGCCGGGGGCGGGGAGGGAUGGGCGCCCCCGGCCCCGCCCGCCGCCCCGCGCGCCCCCUGCCUGCGGUCCCCUGUGGGCCCCGCCGCGCGGCCUGGCCGCUGCCUCUUCUGCGGGGUCCCCGGCGCUUCCCCGCCCCUCCCGCCAACGACCCCGGCCCGGCGCCGGCCAGGCCUUGCGGGCCUGCCUCGCCUAAGGCUUCCCAGGGCGCCGCCCCCCUUCGCGGCGGGGCUGCGGCCCCGACCUUUGUGUCCCCGGCGUCGCGCGCCCCGGCCCCUCCCCACGUGCCCGGCCGCGCCUCAGCCUUCGCCCUGAGCGCGCGCCGCCGCCGCCCACCCUCCCGCCUGCCCUGUCCUCACCCUCACGUCCGGGACAGCCCCGCGGCCACUCUCCCGGUGCCGGGCGCCGCUCUGAGUGUCCCCUCCCUUCUCUGAGGCCUUCCCGGCACUUCCUUCCUCUUGCGGGGGAAGAGCCAGCUCUCAGCCAUAAAAUCCUGCAUGUGCAAGGCCCUGAGUGAAGUUGGAGGUGAGGAACUCCAGUGUCUACUGCUCUUCAGUCCAGAGUGCUGCUCAGCUGGUGCCAGGGAUUGAACCCGGGGCUUCCCACAAGCAAGUCCUGUGCCCUCUCACUGGCCCCUGGAACUCCUCAUUCUCAGAGCCACUGGCUGGAGUAUGUAUAAUUUCACUGCUCCUGGGCUACUUUCUGCUCCCCAUCAUUCAUUCAGGGUGAUCCUCUCUGUUCUCCAACUCUGUGCCCAGUCUCUCUCUUGUACUAUGAGCAAAAGGUGCCAAGCUCAGGGCACCAGUAAUAGGCUCCACACAGCUCCCUCAGCCCCAGCAGCGCGUCACCCAUGUAUUGGCCUAAGAGGAUGGGCAUCGAGAACCAUCAAUCAACUGGAUCAGAACCCAGUAUGGACCAAGCAGAAGGCUUCUCUGAAGCAGCCUGUGUUUCUAGAAGGG
Long non-coding RNA from Erinaceus europaeus (western European hedgehog), 968 nucleotides. RefSeq lists it as uncharacterized. The record is from RefSeq and is a predicted model, not a curated record. The transcript is spliced from 4 exons. NCBI's taxonomy places the organism in Eukaryota, Metazoa, Chordata, Mammalia, Eulipotyphla, Erinaceidae.